UCUUUAAAAUUAAAAGUUUUGGCGGUAUUUUAGUCUUUUCAGAGGAACCUGUUUUUUAAUUGAUAGUCCACGAUUAAUUUUACUUUAAUUUUUAAUUUAUAUAUCGUCGUUUAUAAAGAUUUUAUUAUUUAAUUUUUUCAGAUCAAGGUGUAGUUUAUAUUAAAGUUAAAAUGGGUUACAAUGAAAAUUUUGAAUAAAUUGGAUUUGAAAGUAAGCUCUAAAAUAUGUACAUAUCGCCCGUCGCUUUCGUUAUAAAAUGAAAUAAGUCGUAACAAAGUAGGCUUAUUGGAAAAUGAGCCUAGAAUGCAAAUUAGAGCUUGAUAAGCAUUUUAUUUACACUAAAAAGUUAACUGUGAAAUUCAGUUUGAUUUGAAUUUAUUAUAUUAUUUAGUUUAUUUUUUUGUUAUUUUAAUAGAAAUAUUUAAUUUUUUAUUAUUUUCUGGAAAAAAUUUAAUUAUAGUUUAUAGUAUAGUGAUAGAAUUUUAUAAAAUUUAUAUAAGAAAAUUUUAUUUGUUGUACCUUGUGUCUCAGGGUUGAUUAAUUUUGUGUUCUCGAAUUUAAAAGAGCUAAUUUUAUUGUAAAAUAAAUAUUUAUAAUAAUUAGUUAGAAAUGAAACGUUAUUCGUUUUUAAAUAUAUCUAGUUUUUUUAGAAAAAAAUUUAAUUUUUUUAUUAUUAAUAAUUUUAUUGGGGGAUAAGCUUCUUAUUAUAAAUUUAUAAAUUAAUUUAAUUUUAAAAAUCGUAGGAUUAGAAUUUUCUAUUGUUAAGAGAAUGUUAUAAUUAAUUAUUUUAAUUUUUUUAUAAAAAUUUAUUUUUUAUUUUAUAUUGUUUAGUAAUAAUGAUUAAAUUAGUAAGGUUAUAUUAAGGAAUUCGGCAAAUAAUAUUUUCACCUGUUUAAUAAAAACAUGUCUUUUUGAUUAUAAUUUAAAGUCUUGCCUGCCCAAUGAUUUAAUGGCCGCAGUAUUUUGACUGUGCAAAGGUAGCAUAAUCAUUAGUUUUUUAAUUGAAAGCUGGAAUGAAUGGUUUGAUGAGAAAUAUACUGUCUCUAGAAUUUUAAUUUUGAGUGAAAAAGCUUAAAUUUUAUAUAAAGACGAGAAGACCCUAUAGAGUUUUUUUGUUGGGGUGAUGUAAAAAUUUAAAAAACUUUUUAUU
Molecule: ribosomal RNA, 1150 nt
Filed under: Seirotrana sp. NLG-2012
Lineage: Eukaryota; Metazoa; Arthropoda; Insecta; Coleoptera; Tenebrionidae
Description: partial 16S ribosomal RNA
Source: RNAcentral